GAUAAACGCUGGCGCGCACAUAAGACAUGCAAGUCGAACGGACUUAACUCAUUCUUUACGAUUGAGAGCGGUUAGUGGCGGACUGGUGAGUAACACGUAAGCAACCUGCCUAUCAGAGGGGAAUAACAGUGAGAAAUCAUUGCUAAUACCGCAUAUGCUCACAGUACCACAUGGUACAGUGAGGAAAGGAGCAAUCCGCUGAUAGAUGGGCUUGCGCCUGAUUAGCUAGUUGGUGGGGUAACGGCCUACCAAGGCGACGAUCAGUAGCCGGACUGAGAGGUUGAACGGCCACAUUGGGACUGAGAUACGGCCCAGACUCCUACGGGAGGCAGCAGUGGGGAAUAUUGGGCAAUGGGGGAAACCCUGACCCAGCAACGCCGCGUGAAGGAAGAAGGCCUUCGGGUUGUAAACUUCUUUUAGCAGGGACGAAGAACGUGACGGUACCUGCAGAAAAAGCAACGGCUAACUACGUG
This 473-nucleotide ribosomal RNA is filed under the name uncultured bacterium. RNAcentral describes it as "bacterial SSU rRNA". It matches the Rfam family "Bacterial small subunit ribosomal RNA", at positions 28 to 507 of the family's 1533-position model. The record is from RNAcentral.